This 73-nucleotide transfer RNA is filed under the name Stegodyphus mimosarum. It matches the Rfam family "tRNA". Rfam says of the family: Transfer RNA (tRNA) molecules are approximately 80 nucleotides in length. Their secondary structure includes four short double-helical elements and three loops (D, anti-codon, and T loops). Lineage: Eukaryota; Metazoa; Arthropoda; Arachnida; Araneae; Eresidae. The record is from Rfam by way of RNAcentral.
GCUUUCGUGGUGUAGUGGUCAGCACGCUCGACACCUAUUCGAGAGGUCUGUGGUUCGAGUCCCAGCUAAGGCA